Molecule: non-coding RNA, 125 nt
Organism: Triticum aestivum (bread wheat)
Lineage: Eukaryota; Viridiplantae; Streptophyta; Magnoliopsida; Poales; Poaceae
Source: Rfam
AAAUUACUCCCUCCGUCCGAAAAUACCGGUCGGAAAAAUGGAUGUAUCUAGAUGUAUUUUAGUUCUAGAUACAUUUAUUUUUAGACAUUUCUCCGAUAAAUAUUUCCGGACGGAGGAAGUAUAUA